GACGAACGCUGGCGGCGUGCUUAACACAUGCAAGUCGAACGGAAAGGCCCUGCUUUUGUGGGGUGCUCGAGUGGCGAACGGGUGAGUAACACGUGAGUAACCUGCCCUUGACUUUGGGAUAACUUCAGGAAACUGGGGCUAAUACCGGAUAGGAGCUCCUGCUGCAUGGUGGGGGUUGGAAAGUUUCGGCGGUUGGGGAUGGACUCGCGGCUUAUCAGCUUGUUGGUGGGGUAGUGGCUUACCAAGGCUUUGACGGGUAGCCGGCCUGAGAGGGUGACCGGCCACAUUGGGACUGAGAUACGGCCCAGACUCCUACGGGAGGCAACAGUGGGGAAUAUUGCACAAUGGGCGGAAGCCUGAUGCAGCAACGCCGCGUGCGGGAUGACGGCCUUCGGGUUGUAAACCGCUUUCGCCUGUGACGAAGCGUGAGUGACGGUAAUGGGUAAAGAAGCACCGGCUAACUACGUGCCAGCAGCCGCGGUGAUACGUAGGGUGCGAGCGUUGUCCGGAUUUAUUGGGCGUAAAGGGCUCGUAGGUGGUUGAUCGCGUCGGAAGUGUAAUCUUGGGGCUUAACCCUGAGCGUGCUUUCGAUACGGGUUGACUUGAGGAAGGUAGGGGAGAAUGGAAUUCCUGGUGGAGCGGUGGAAUGCGCAGAUAUCAGGAGGAACACCAGUGGCGAAGGCGGUUCUCUGGGCCUUUCCUGACGCUGAGGAGCGAAAGCGUGGGGAGCGAACAGGCUUAGAUACCCUGGUAGUCCACGCUGUAAACGGUGGGUACUAGGUGUGGGGUCCAUUCCACGGGUUCCGUGCCGUAGCUAACGCUUUAAGUACCCCGCCUGGGGAGUACGGCCGCAAGGCUAAAACUCAAAGGAAUUGACGGGGCCCCGCACAAGCGGCGGAGCAUGCGGAUUAAUUCGAUGCAACGCGUAGAACCUUACCUGGGUUUGACAUGGAUCGGGAGUGCUCAGAGAUGGGUGUGCCUCUUUUGGGGUCGGUUCACAGGUGGUGCAUGGCUGCCGUCAGCUCGUGUCGUGAGAUGUUGGGUUAAGUCCCGCAACGAGCGCAACCCUUGUUCACUGUUGCCAGCACGUUAUGGUGGGGACUCAGUGGAGACCGCCGGGGUCAACUCGGAGGAAGGUGGGGAUGACGUCAAGCCAUCAUGCCCCUUAUGUCCAGGGCUUCACGCAUGCUACAAUGGCUGGUACAGAGAGUGGCGAGCCUGUGAGGGUGAGCGAAUCUCGGAAAGCCGGUCUCAGUUCGGAUUGGGGUCUGCAACUCGACCUCAUGAAGUCGGAGUCGCUAGUAAUCGCAGAUCAGCAACGCUGCGGUGAAUACGUUCCCGGG
This 1343-nucleotide ribosomal RNA is filed under the name uncultured bacterium. RNAcentral's name for it is "16S ribosomal RNA". It matches the Rfam family "Bacterial small subunit ribosomal RNA", at positions 28 to 1378 of the family's 1533-position model. The record is from RNAcentral.